RNAcentral lists this ribosomal RNA (365 nucleotides) under uncultured eukaryote. RNAcentral's name for it is "partial 18S ribosomal RNA". It matches the Rfam family "Eukaryotic small subunit ribosomal RNA", at positions 592 to 976 of the family's 1831-position model. The record is from RNAcentral.
CAAUAGCGUAUAUUUAAGUUGUUGCAGUUAAAAAGCUCGUAGUCGGAUUUUGGCUGAGAACGAUCGGUCCGCCGUUAGGUGUGCACUGAUUGGUCUCAGCUUCCUGGUGAGGAGGUGUGCUUCACGGCCACUUAGUCACCGUGGUUACUUUGAAAAAAUUAGAGUGUUCAAAGCGGGCUUACGCUUGAAUAUAUUAGCAUGGAAUAACACCAUAGGACUCCUGUCCUAUUUCGUUGGUCACGGGACGGGAGUAAUGAUUAAGAGGAACAGUUGGGGGCAUUCGUAUUUCAUUGUCAGAGGUGAAAUUCUUGGAUUUAUGAAAGACGAACCUCUGCGAAAGCAUUUGCCAAGGAUGUUUUCAUUGA